AUCCUUACAAAUAUUUUUAGAACGUGAUGAUGUGGAGGUGUGGCUUGUUUGAAUCGAAUCGUUUUUUAGGCUCAUGUUGUCAUCAGCGGCAGCUGACUCUUGUGGCGGAUAUUUGUGUCCGUUGUGAGGUUUAUGGUACUGUAUGGUUCAGCUGAAUUGGAUUUAAUCUUUGGAUGGAAACCAAAGUUUAAUACAAAAAUUGUGGUUAUUGUUCCCAGAAAGUUUUCGUAAUGUUUCUUAUGUAGUGUUUACUCAGACUUGCAAUACAUUUAAAGCAUUUUAUAAUUUUGGACGAACUGCAGCAUGGUUGUUUUUUAGCACAUCUAUACUUCUUUUCAUUCCUGUUAUACUUGAAGUGGAAAGAGCUGAAAUUGAAAAUGAACAACGAAGACAUCAGAAU
Molecule: long non-coding RNA, 400 nt
Organism: Schistocerca cancellata (South American locust)
Lineage: Eukaryota; Metazoa; Arthropoda; Insecta; Orthoptera; Acrididae
Exons: 3
Source: RefSeq, a predicted model, not a curated record